UACGUAGGUGGCAAGCGUUGUCCGGAUUUAUUGGGUUUAAAGGGUGCGUAGGCGGCUUUGUAAGUCAGAGGUGAAAGCCCGGAGCUUAACUCCGGAACUGCCUUUAAAACUGCAUCGCUAGAAUCGUGGAGAGGUGAGUGGAAUUCCGAGUGUAGAGGUGAAAUUCGUAGAUAUUCGGAAGAACACCAGUGGCGAAGGCGACUCACUGGACACGUAUUGACGCUGAGGUGCGAAAGCGUGGGGAGCAAACAGG
Molecule: ribosomal RNA, 253 nt
Filed under: uncultured bacterium
Lineage: Bacteria
Description: partial 16S ribosomal RNA
Rfam family: Bacterial small subunit ribosomal RNA
Source: RNAcentral